Non-coding RNA from Coturnix japonica (Japanese quail), 4503 nucleotides. Lineage: Eukaryota; Metazoa; Chordata; Aves; Galliformes; Phasianidae. The record is from RefSeq and is a predicted model, not a curated record.
UAGCAACCGGGCAACAUCUGCUCCCGCUGGACCAAUCCGUGCCGGGCACAUCUGGGCGCCCACCUCCGCGUGCUGCAGCCGGGCGGUGAUGCGCUCCUCAGUGGCUGCAGGGACCCGCAGGAGCUGCCACCAGUGCCACCACCUCCAGAGGCAGCCAACAGCUCGGAGCGGCCGGGGAAGGACGAAGGACGGGAGCAGCUCCCCCUCCAGAGCCGGGGAUCGCCGGGUGACGUUCUGCAGGGCUGUGCUGCCAGCAAUGCUCGCUGAGCCCGUGCGAGGAGAUCUCACCGGGACUGCUGGCGUCAUCCCAGAGAGACCCUUUGCAGACUGACUCCACAUCCUCAGAGCUGAUCUGAUAGGGGCCUAUCAAAUCCAUUAACGACGUCGAAAGUAGCUUACUUUAAGAGAAAAUAUGCAGAAGAAGAACAUCUACAUCAAGAUUACCAUGAGUAUUGUCCAAAACACCUGAUACUCCCUGAGGACCGGACUUGUAUUCUAAAACUUUCUCUCCAGAAACUCCGAUUCCUGGAAGAUCCCGAAGCAUAUCUCCGUAGGUCGGUGUUAAUUAACAAUCUGUUGAGGAAGAUUCACCUAGAGACAGAGAGGGAGAGCUAUGAAUACUUUAAGGAGGCUCCGUGCUAUAGGACUGCUUACUCUGACUCACGAAAACGGCUGAAGUUUAUGGUACACGAGUGCUGUUCCCAGUCGCUCUAUUAUGAAGAGCUGCAUUCGUAUCGCAUUGUGCCUUAUUCUGCAGAGAACGCCGUUUAUGGGAUGGGCUACACAAGCAGCCACCUGGAGCAAAAUUCUCAAUUGCUUAUUUAUAAAAUGAAUUAAAGUAGCUGUUAGACCCACCGAUGUUUGUUUCUGAAUGCUUGAACUGCUUGCUGAGGCGUUAGGAUGAGGCACUGAUUGCAGAGACGCCCGUGGUGAGGUGGGAGCAGAGCUUGGACUCAACAGCUUGGGGUGAGUUGGGUGCUUUGGGCACCGCUCUGCAGCCCCACCAUUAACCAAUUGGCCACAAAGCACCAUGCACACGCAGGGCAGGUGUGAUGCUGAGGGCCUCACCCACGUGCAACAUGUUGUGUGGAUGCAAAGCCGUGUUGCAGUUCUCUGUGUGUAGAUACAGACACCGGGAAUCACUUUGCUGUUCAGUCGUGCCACCCUUAGCAGAAGGGGAGCCCCAGGUAGCGGAGCAGUCCGGCAGCGAGGAGCCAGGUGCCAGUUACUUACUGCGAAGGGACAGAUAGGAAGUUUCUGUAAGGAAAUGCUUUGUACAUGAAGGAGUCAGUGCCAAAGGAAUGGCCUUUGCCUGGGAUGGUCACAGACUAACUUGCUUGCUACUUCAACUCUAAUGAGAUUUGCAAGUUUAUUAUUAUUAGAAUAAUUGCAUUCACCUUUUUACUUACAUUCUCUCUUAGCUAACAUCUACUUUGCUAUUCUAGUACAGAACAGAACAGCUCACAGGACAGGUCAUUUCUUUGUCCCAUCGCUGUGCUCCCUUAGCUUUAUUCGGGUUGUUUCCCCCAUACCUUCCUGCAUGCUGACCUGCUGUUGGGCAAGGGGUUCACACUGGUGCUGGGAAAUCAUAGGUAAUAAUUGAUUUUGACAUGGAAAGGCAGAAGAACAGUGGUAACUCCUUUGGGUAGAGAGUGAAUGUACAUGACAGAUGAAGCUACUCAGUGUUGGUAAUGGUGUUUCAGGUGAAGUGAAAUUGUGGAACCAUAGAAUGGCUUGGGUUGGAAGGGACCUCAAAGAUCAUCAAGUUCCAACCCCCAUCUUGGGCAGGGCUGCUAUGUUUAGUAUUAGAUCAGAUUGCCCAGGGCCCCAUCUAACUGAAAUGCCUGAUUUUGACCCAGGAAUUAACCUUAGGUUAUGUAAAUAUAUAUUUCAUGAGCUGUGGGUUGACAUGAGAGCUGAUCAGCAAACUGGUGAUUACAGGUGGAAGGUUUUUAUAGCUGCCAAAGCUAUAUCAUGAAAAUACCAAAGAGUAAUAUAAGGGAAGAGAUGAUGCUCCAGCAAAAGCAAUGAUUGCACUGUAACCUGGGGGAAUGUGAUGAAGGAGCUGUGAUGUAUCAGUGACUGAUAUACCUGUGUCUCAGAAGCUGGGACUGCUGAACUAAAACAGCAGUGGUCCAAACCUGUCCUACUGAUGGCUGAUGCUAUUUCUUAAGUACAAAGAAAUAACAUUGCAUGGCUGGGAUGUGCUCGGUACAGGUUUAAAGGGGGAACCUCAGAGCACCUCAGCUGCAACAUUGCAGCUGCUGGGCAUGUGUUCACAGCACAGGACAAAGGAGAAAGGGCAGGAGCAGGAGGUGCAAGGAGCAACAUGAACUCCUGCCUCAGCAGUACAGGCUUAGGGGACAGAAAGCAGCAGGAAGGCACAGAUUAUUAGUGCAAAACAACAGCUUAUUUUGGGGGCAGGAUAACCUGCAAAGUGGGGAGUGUGAGCAGCACAGGCACUGUGGGAAGGCGGAGAAUAGGGCACUGCAGGCAGAGACUGUGGCAGUGCCUGUGCCCAGGAGGGCACUGGGGGCACAGUGUGUAAUGUAGGUGUUCAAUCAGUGUGAUUCUUCUGCUCUAAACUGACCUGAUUUAUGCCCUUAUUUUGCUCUUUUUUGUCUGUUUUUUGCCUGAACUCGCAGCAAUGCAGCAAAGAUGCUAGGGCUCCUGCCCCCUCUGUUCUGCUUGGUUACACUCAGAGGACAGUCCUGGCCUGAAAAACAAAUCUGAUAUCAAAUAAAAAUGGCUGCAAUGGCAUGGACGCUCCGUAGGAUUAAGGCCUUUAACCUCACCUGAAAAAGAAAGCAUGUUCCCCCCAUCACAUAAACAAUUCCCUCCUCUGCUGAACAGGGCAGGUAUGUUCCUGCUUACUGUGAGCCCCUCUGACAGAGCACUGUGCUUUCACACAGUGAUAUUUGCCAGUGAGAAGUGGCUCACAUUCAUCAUCACUCAUCCAUUAGCACUUGAUAGCCAUAAUCUACAGUGAUAAAGCAGUACAGAGGUGCAGCAGCAUCACGAGUUGCUCCAGUUUGACACUUUUUGAACAACGUACUGCUUUUAUCGCUUAGUUUCCAAGCUCCUGGGCACCAGCCAUUUCAUACAGCUUCAUGCAGUGAUUGUUCUGCUUUAGGGCUCGUAGCUGCAAUUCAGCUCUUCUGGCUCUGAUGUGUGAAUAUGUAGGUGGUCAGAUUUCAGUGAUAAGUAUAUAUGUAUAUAUAUAUAUAUAUACACACACAUAUAUAUAUGUUCCAUUAUGACUGCGGUAGGAACUCCCACACAUGGGCUAUGUUUGCACUGGAUGUAAGGAAGGUCCUUCUUUCCCUCUGACUCUGUUGCCUUGGAGAUAGUGUUCAUUAGGUGAUGCUGGGAGGCAAUGACAAACCUGCUCACAGGUAGCUGUUCUUUCCCAAUAGGGCUGGCUUAUGACAAUGCACUGUCAUCUCGGAACAGCACGUGUGACUGUAAUUAGUGUUUAAAAGAGUUUAGCUCCCUCUGUGCCACUCUCUCACCUGGCUGUGAGUGCUGGACUUGAGCUGGUGGCACUGAGCAGCAACAAGAGGCUCUGCACAGAAUCAGCUUUGCAACCCAACACCCCCAAAUUGUAGGGCUCUGCUCCACCGCACACCUUGGUUAUUGCCUGUGCCUCUCUGUGCACAUCCGUGCAAGGCUCCUUAUGUGCUCCAUGCUCAGCAUGUGCAGCGUGGGGGCUGCCCUGCCCCAGUGUGCUCCUCCAUUGCUGAAUUACUGGUGAGAAGCUACGGCAGAGCUGCCACUUGGCUUCUGGAAUAUGUUGAUAUUGCACUGUAAAUGGAACUGUUGUUUUUUGAUGAAUGUGUUGAGUAUCUGGACUAUGGUGCCUUAAAGUCCCAUCCUCAUGCAGCCUUUGUACAUGCAAACCCACAGCCCUCCUUUUAGCCUACAGCCCCAUGCACGCCAUGCAGCUCUGUGCCCACGGGGCCUUGGGAAGCACCACCCCCACCUCACAGUUUGGCACUUCCCUCCUCUCCUCUUUUCUAGACUGCUUUCCUCCCUACGGUCGGUCCCCAAACUUCUCUUUUUCCCAGUUCCUGCCAUCUCCGGGUUCUGUGCUACCCGCAAUGCCUUCAUGUGAGCUCCAACCAGUGUAAAAAAAAAGCUUUUCAAUGCCAUAUUGUGCUCUCAGCAGGGAAUCUCCACUGCAUAUAACGACUGCGGCAGGUGCCGUCGAGUAUUUCAUCUGAUAUUUGACGUGGUUAACUCGGCAGAAAAAGGAAACGCUCGCUUCUGCCGGAAUGCAUGAGCCUGCACUGUGUUACACGGCGACUGUACACCACCUCAUUGGGAUAAUGCCUAUGGAUUCUAUGAUGGAAGGUGGCUUUUUAAUGUUUAAAAUUACUCGGGACCUGACGGAAAGGUUUUUAUGAAAUUGUUUUCUAAAGUGGAUAGUAGAAAAAUGUAUAUGUAUUUUAAAUAUACAUACAACGUGCAUGUUAUUAAUAAAGGUCUAUUUCUAUUGAAUCA